RNAcentral lists this ribosomal RNA (440 nucleotides) under uncultured bacterium. RNAcentral's name for it is "bacterial SSU rRNA". It matches the Rfam family "Bacterial small subunit ribosomal RNA", at positions 43 to 526 of the family's 1533-position model. The record is from RNAcentral.
CAGGCCUAACACAUGCAAGUCGAACGCUCGUAGCAAUACGGGAGUGGCAGACGGGUGAGUAACACGUGGGAACGUACCUUCAGGUCUGGAAUAACCCAGGGAAACUUGGGCUAAUACCGGAUAUCCCGGCGACGGGAAAGGCUUGCUGCCUGAAGAUCGGCCCGCGUCCGAUUAGCUUGUUGGUGGGGUAAUGGCCUACCAAGGCAUCGAUCGGUAGCUGGUCUGAGAGGAUGGCCAGCCACAUUGGGACUGAGACACGGCCCAAACUCCUACGGGAGGCAGCAGUGGGGAAUAUUGGACAAUGGGCGCAAGCCUGAUCCAGCCAUGCCGCGUGAGUGAUGAAGGCCUUAGGGUUGUAAAGCUCUUUUACCUGGGAAGAUAAUGACGGUACCAGGAGAAUAAGCCCCGGCUAACUUCGUGCCAGCAACCGCGGUAAUAAU